UUAGUCGGAAUAGCUAGUUGGUGGGGUAAAGGCCUACCAAGGCGACGAUCUGUAGCGGGUCUGAGAGGAUGAUCCGCCACACUGGGACUGAGACACGGCCCAGACUCCUACGGGAGGCAGCAGUGGGGAAUAUUGGACAAUGGGCGCAAGCCUGAUCCAGCCAUGCCGCGUGUGUGAAGAAGGCCUUAUGGUUGUAAAGCACUUUAAGCGAGGAGGAGGCUACUGAAGUUAAUACCUUCAGAUAGUGGACGUUACUCGCAGAAUAAGCACCGGCUAACUCUGUGCCAGCAGCCGCGGUAAUACAGAGGGUGCAAGCGUUAAUCGGAUUUACUGGGCGUAAAGCGCGCGUAGGCGGCUAAUUAAGUCAAAUGUGAAAUCCCCGAGCUUAACUUGGGAAUUGCAUUCGAUACUGGUUAGCUAGAGUGUGGGAGAGGAUGGUAGAAUUCCAGGUGUAGCGGUGAAAUGCGUAGAGAUCUGGAGGAAUACCGAUGGCGAAGGCAGCCAUCUGGCCUAACACUGACGCUGAGGUGCGAAAGCAUGGGGAGCAAACAGGAUUAGAUACCCUGGUAGUCCAUGCCGUAAACGAUGUCUACUAGCCGUUGGGGCCUUUGAGGCUUUAGUGGCGCAGCUAACGCGAUAAGUAGACCGCCUGGGGAGUACGGUCGCAAGACUAAAACUCAAAUGAAUUGACGGGGGCCCGCACAAGCGGUGGAGCAUGUGGUUUAAUUCGAUGCAACGCGAAGAACCUUACCUGGCCUUGACAUAGUAAGAACUUUCCAGAGAUGGAUUGGUGCCUUCGGGAACUUACAUACAGGUGCUGCAUGGCUGUCGUCAGCUCGUGUCGUGAGAUGUUGGGUUAAGUCCCGCAACGAGCGCAACCCUUUUCCUUAUUUGCCAGCGAGUAAUGUCGGGAACUUUAAGGAUACUGCCAGUGACAAACUGGAGGAAGGCGGGGACGACGUCAAGUCAUCAUGGCCCUUACGGCCAGGGCUACACACGUGCUACAAUGGUCGGUACAAAGGGUUGCUACCUAGCGAUAGGAUGCUAAUCUCAAAAAGCCGAUCGUAGUCCGGAUUGGAGUCUGCAACUCGACUCCAUGAAGUCCGUAUCCCUUGUGCCGAUAGAGAGAGACGGUCCGAGC
This 1141-nucleotide ribosomal RNA is filed under the name Acinetobacter oleivorans. RNAcentral describes it as "bacterial SSU rRNA". It matches the Rfam family "Bacterial small subunit ribosomal RNA", at positions 232 to 1367 of the family's 1533-position model. The record is from RNAcentral. Lineage: Bacteria; Pseudomonadati; Pseudomonadota; Gammaproteobacteria; Moraxellales; Moraxellaceae.